CAGUCGCCACGGUAAUACGUAGGGUGCGAGCGUUAAUCGGAAUUACUGGGCGUAAAGCGUGCGCAGGCGGUUGUGUAAGACAGGUGUGAAAUCCCCGGGCUUAACCUGGGAACUGCGCUUGUGACUGCACAGCUAGAGUAUGGCAGAGGGUGGUGGAAUUCCACGUGUAGCAGUGAAAUGCGUAGAGAUGUGGAGGAACACCGAUGGCGAAGGCAGCCACCUGGGCCAAUACUGACGCUCAUGCGCGAAAGCGUGGGGAGCAAACAGGAUUAGAUACCCGUGUAGUCCCUGUCUCUUAUAC
This 301-nucleotide ribosomal RNA is filed under the name uncultured bacterium. RNAcentral's name for it is "partial 16S ribosomal RNA". It matches the Rfam family "Bacterial small subunit ribosomal RNA", at positions 509 to 807 of the family's 1533-position model. The record is from RNAcentral.